AAUCAUAAACUGUCAGAAGAUUUUUAACGGACAUGAAGGGGUAAGAUUCUGCUAGAAGUUUGAAAGCAGAUGUUCUGUUUGCUGUGAACACCAUACCGUAAUCAUUUUCUGAAAUAUUCAAAAAGUCCAUGAUCCUUUUCUUCAUUGCGGAUUCCAAUCCUGAUUCUUGCCCUCCAUGAAGCAGCUGUGUCUUCAGAUUCCCUGUCUUGUAUGACACACUAAAGAAAGGAAUAUCCAAAUUUUGAGAAGGCAAUGAAGGCCGUAAAUGAGAAGGAGAAGAUUCCUGUUUAUGCAACUGGUUAUAGGAAAACAAACCAAUACCGAAAUAAUCAAGGCAGGUAUGAUUGGAGAGCGAGAGCUGAUAGUACUCUUUUGCUCGUAUUUGGUCAAUUUGAUAUGUAUCAAAGUACUGAGGGUAGGCUUUUGUGAAUUCAGUUAAAGAUUGUUGCAAAGAUGGGAGAGACUCAUGGUUGGUGAAUUGAGUGUCUGGGAAGAUGGAGGAAGCAGUUACUGCUGCAAAGUCGCGGCGACAAUCCGCAGAAGUGUUUCUGGACUUGGAGACUUUGUGGAGGGGAUCAGGUGAUAAGCUGAAGAAAGGAGACGGACAGCAGCCACCGUGGGUGCAUAGACAUGCUUGUGAGACCUCUCUCAAGCAAGGUGACUGCAUUUUCUCUCUUUCUUUCUUCUUGUUUCUUUCAAUCAAAUUUCAUCGCUUAUAUGGAGCAUUAUUAUUAUUAUUAUUUUGUCUUUAUUGGCUUAGACAACAGCAUCUGUUUUACUUUGCCUUGAUUGCUUUCAUACUUGCUGGUUG
This 811-nucleotide long non-coding RNA is filed under the name Citrus sinensis (sweet orange). RNAcentral's name for it is "long non-coding RNA (CSIN_LNC003982)". The record is from RNAcentral. Lineage: Eukaryota; Viridiplantae; Streptophyta; Magnoliopsida; Sapindales; Rutaceae.